Schistosoma rodhaini is the source of this 45-nucleotide non-coding RNA. Lineage: Eukaryota; Metazoa; Platyhelminthes; Trematoda; Strigeidida; Schistosomatidae. The record is from Rfam.
AUUCAUCUGACGAGUCCCAAAAUGGACGAAACGCGCGUCCUGGAU